RNAcentral lists this ribosomal RNA (460 nucleotides) under uncultured bacterium. RNAcentral's name for it is "partial 16S ribosomal RNA". It matches the Rfam family "Bacterial small subunit ribosomal RNA", at positions 338 to 795 of the family's 1533-position model. The record is from RNAcentral.
CCUACGGGAGGCAGCAGUGAGGAAUAUUGGUCAAUGGCCGUAAGGCUGAACCAGCCAAGUAGCGUGAGGGAAGACUGCCCUAUGGGUUGUAAACCUCUUUUAUGCGGGGAUAAAGGUGUCCACGUGUGGAUGUUUGCAGGUACCGCAUGAAUAAGGACCGGCUAAUUCCGUGCCAGCAGCCGCGGUAAUACGGAAGGUCCGGGCGUUAUCCGGAUUUAUUGGGUUUAAAGGGAGCGUAGGCCGGCCUUUAAGCGUGCCGUGAAAUUUUGUGGCUCAACCAUGGGAGUGCGGCGCGAACUGGAGGCCUUGAGUGCGCGGAAGGCAGGCGGAAUUCGUGGUGUAGCGGUGAAAUGCUUAGAUAUCACGAAGAACCCCGAUUGCGAAGGCAGCCUGCCGCGGCGUUACUGACGCUGAGGCUCGAAGGCGCGGGUAUCGAACAGGAUUAGAUACCCGAGUAGUC